UCGUGAGUGAGAGAUGACAGAAACAUCUUUACUCAUUGGUUGAUUUUUUUUUUUAAGAUAUAGAUUAUAACAUCAGUUAGAGAUAUGAUCAGAGUUAUUAUAUAAUGGCUUAACUGGUUCACCUACACCAAAGUUUAAUUAUAAGUGGUUUUAGUUGCAGGUUUGUGAUAGUAACUAUAAAAUCCAUUUGAUGUUGUUUCAUAUCGAUCACGUGAAAGCGUAGUGUUUUGUGAUGAUGAUAGGCGUUGGAAAAUAGUUACAAUAAUAACUUCUAAUUUUUAAAGAUUAAAUAAAUGGUUAAUUAAUACACAUAAUUUGUUUAGA
Molecule: long non-coding RNA, 324 nt
Filed under: Capsella rubella
Lineage: Eukaryota; Viridiplantae; Streptophyta; Magnoliopsida; Brassicales; Brassicaceae
Description: long non-coding RNA (CRUB_LNC003268)
Source: RNAcentral